GAGGGUAUAGCUCAGUGGUAGAGUGUGUGCCUAACGUGCACAAGGUCCUGGGUUCAAUUCCCAGCACUGCCA
This 72-nucleotide transfer RNA is filed under the name Camelus bactrianus (Bactrian camel). It matches the Rfam family "tRNA". From Rfam's summary of the family: Transfer RNA (tRNA) molecules are approximately 80 nucleotides in length. The record is from Rfam by way of RNAcentral. RNAcentral also lists the same sequence under 1 other name. Lineage: Eukaryota; Metazoa; Chordata; Mammalia; Artiodactyla; Camelidae.